AGCGAACGCUGGCGGCAGGCCUAACACAUGCAAGUCGAACGGACUCUUCGGAGUUAGUGGCGGACGGGUGAGUAACACGUGGGAACGUGCCUUUAGGUUCGGAAUAGCUCCUGGAAACGGGUGGUAAUGCCGAAUGUGCCCUUCGGGGAAAGGAUUUAUCGCCUUUAGAGCGGCCCGCGUCUGAUUAGCUAGUUGGUGAG
Molecule: ribosomal RNA, 200 nt
Filed under: uncultured bacterium
Lineage: Bacteria
Description: partial 16S ribosomal RNA
Rfam family: Bacterial small subunit ribosomal RNA
Source: RNAcentral